Molecule: ribosomal RNA, 313 nt
Filed under: Pseudomonas sp. ATCC 13867
Lineage: Bacteria; Pseudomonadati; Pseudomonadota; Gammaproteobacteria; Pseudomonadales; Pseudomonadaceae
Description: bacterial LSU rRNA
Rfam family: Bacterial large subunit ribosomal RNA
Source: RNAcentral
GCUGUGAAGAUGCAGUGUAUCCGCGGCUAGACGGUAAAGACCCCGUGAACCUUUACUGUAGCUUUGCACUGGACUUUGAGCCUGCUUGUGUAGGAUAGGUGGGAGGCUUUGAAGCGUGGACGCCAGUUCGCGUGGAGCCAUCCUUGAAAUACCACCCUGGCAUGCUUGAGGUUCUAACUCUGGUCCGUCAUCCGGAUCGAGGACAGUGUAUGGUGGGCAGUUUGACUGGGGCGGUCUCCUCCUAAAGAGUAACGGAGGAGUACGAAGGUGCGCUCAGACCGGUCGGAAAUCGGUCGCAGAGUAUAAAGGCAAA